Molecule: ribosomal RNA, 460 nt
Filed under: uncultured bacterium
Lineage: Bacteria
Description: partial 16S ribosomal RNA
Rfam family: Bacterial small subunit ribosomal RNA
Source: RNAcentral
CCUACGGGUGGCAGCAGUGAGGAAUAUUGGUCAAUGGGCGCGAGCCUGAACCAGCCAAGUAGCGUGAAGGAUGACUGCCCUACGGGUUGUAAACUUCUUUUAUAAAGGAAUAAAGUGAGGCACGUGUGCCUUUUUUUAUGUACUUUUUGAAUAAGGAUCGGCUAACACCGUGCCAGCAGCCGCGGUAAUACGGAGGAUCCGAUCGUUAUCCGGAUUUAUUGGGUUUAAAGGGAGCGUAGAUGGGUUGUUAAGUCAGUUGUGAAAGUUUGCGGCUCAAACGUAAAAUUGCUAUUGAUACUGGCAGCCUUGAGUACAGGUGAGGUAGGCGGAAUUCGUGGUGUAGCGGUGAAAUGCUUAGAUAUCACGAAGAACACCGAUUGCGAAGGCAGCCUACUAAACUGCAACUGACAUUGAUGCUCGAAAGUGUGGGUAUCAAACAGGAUUUGAUACCCCUGUAGUC